CCUACGGGAGGCAGCAGUGAGGAAUAUUGGGCAAUGGACGAAAGUCUGACCCAGCCAUGCCGCGUGCAGGAUGACUGCCCUAUGGGUUGUAAACUGCUUUUAUACGGGAGGAAAAAGUCCGACGUGUCGGAAACUGACGGUACCGUAAGAAUAAGGAUCGGCUAACUCCGUGCCAGCAGCCGCGGUAAU
This 189-nucleotide ribosomal RNA is filed under the name uncultured bacterium. Its description in RNAcentral is "partial 16S ribosomal RNA". It matches the Rfam family "Bacterial small subunit ribosomal RNA", at positions 338 to 524 of the family's 1533-position model. The record is from RNAcentral.